This is a non-coding RNA of Pelobates cultripes (western spadefoot toad), 284 nucleotides long. Lineage: Eukaryota; Metazoa; Chordata; Amphibia; Anura; Pelobatidae. The record is from the annotation of a GenBank genome assembly.
UAUGUUGGAAAUUACCGAAGUUAUAUAUUUUAAUAUAAAAUACCAGAGUUUACUGUAUCAACUGGUAAUAUAAUGAUCUGUACUUGAUGAUGUCAUUAUUGUCCCUGUAUAGCAGGGGAUGCUGGGAAAUUACCUUGCAUGGUCAGUCUCCCACACAGUCCACCUGAGUAAAACCCCUGCUGUCCCAGUCUAGAGACCCUGUGCAGGGACAACCGUAUACAUUGGUGACUUGUCAUUAAAGCCUCAGUUGACUCCCAGAACUGUGUUUCAUCCGGUUACUGGGG